This 110-nucleotide ribosomal RNA is filed under the name Escherichia coli. Its description in RNAcentral is "partial 23S ribosomal RNA". It matches the Rfam family "Bacterial large subunit ribosomal RNA", at positions 2813 to 2925 of the family's 2925-position model. The record is from RNAcentral. Lineage: Bacteria; Pseudomonadati; Pseudomonadota; Gammaproteobacteria; Enterobacterales; Enterobacteriaceae.
CCUUGCGAGUCCUGAAGGAACGUUGAAGACGACGACGUUGAUAGGCCGGGUGUGUAAGCGCAGCGAUGCGUUGAGCUAACCGGUACUAAUGAACCGUGAGGCUUAACCUU